Canis lupus familiaris (dog) is the source of this 655-nucleotide long non-coding RNA. RefSeq lists it as uncharacterized. The transcript has 2 exons. Lineage: Eukaryota; Metazoa; Chordata; Mammalia; Carnivora; Canidae. The record is from RefSeq and is a predicted model, not a curated record.
CUGUGUUUUAAUGGCAAGAACGCGUGGAGUCACAUGCUUUCAAACCAAUUAGCAAUACAGAUGAGCUAGCAAAUCAAGUUCCAUUUAUAGGGUGGGGGGAGGGGAGAAGUCAAAUAAUCUGUGUUUUUAAGUGUUUCUGAGAAAUGAAGACCUCCGGGGCAGAGAGAAGGCGGAUCAGGAAAUAGCUAUGCAAAUCACAUGCCAAUGAAAUUACUAAAACUUUGAUCGGGGGCAUUAACAAUCGCUCCAGCAUUCACAAGUAUGAAACAAAGCGUGAGUAAGACUGGGCAUGUUUUGGAAGGGAUUACAAGAGUGUUUACUUACAUGGUUUGUUGAGCAGUCAAUGAAGUCCACGGCUGUUUGGACGUAAGCUGCCCAAGCAGUCCAGAAAAGGACCCUUGCGAAGGCAACUGGCAGAACAAUUGUGGAACAUGAGAGCACUCUUGCAGCGGGGGUUGUUUGUGUUUUUGUCUUACCUGGCGUCUUGCUUCCAAGUCAUCGCUUACGUCGGAAGGUCCCACAGAUGGAGGCAGGCUCCUCAGUGGCCCCAGGUGCUCGUGUCUCCGCCGACGGGGUUGCUUCCCAAACAUUCCUGUUGGGUGUAGAAGAUUGUUUAUGGCAAAACAAAAUCAAAGUAAACUUGAAAAUUGUUAAA